AAGCUCGUAGUUGAAUUUCGGGAUCAGUAUGUUGGUCGUGCUUCGGUACGUACUGUCAUUACUGGUUUCUCCCUUCUGAAGAACCUUGAUGUCAUUAAUUUGGUGUCUUGGGGAAUCAGGACUGUUACUUUGAAAAAAUUAGAGUGUUUAAAGCAAGCAUACGCUUGAAUACAUUAGCAUGGAAUAAUGAAAUAGGACGUUUGAUUCUAUUUUGUUGGUUUCUAGGAUCGACGUAAUGAUUAAUAGGGAUAGUUGGG
Molecule: ribosomal RNA, 257 nt
Filed under: uncultured Glomeromycotina
Lineage: Eukaryota; Fungi; Glomeromycota
Description: partial 18S ribosomal RNA
Rfam family: Eukaryotic small subunit ribosomal RNA
Source: RNAcentral